AGCAAUCUUCAUCGCUGAUUACAUUCAAGCGGUGAGAGGGGAUGACAGUUUGCGUGACUUUUGCUACAUCUUCAUUCCGUGUUGUCACGACAAUCUUACUUCCAGGCUCUGCAUACUGCAAAGGUAGCAGUAAUUUAACCCAUUCAUUGUACACAAUGUUCCACGCAUCAUCUAGAACAAGUAGAAGUUUUUUCCCUUUCAAUGCCUCCAUUAGAGAUUCAUCUGGUUCUUUGGUGCCGCAAGUACCUGCGUUGAUCUUCUUAAGAAUAUCAUCAACUAUCCUGGUGACGUCAAAUUGUUGAGAAGCCCAGACCCAGGCUUUGAGCUCGAAGCACUCAUCUACCCUUCUGUCUUUGUAGAUAAGCUGAGCAAGAGUGGUUUUACCAACCCCUCCCAUGCCCACAAUAGGAAUCACACCUACAUUUGCACCAUUUGUAUUGUUUUUUGUCAACAAGUACUUCAUUAUGGCUUCCUUAUCAGCUUCCCUUCCAUAUACAUGAGAUUCAUCAACCACAGGAGUUGUUUUCUCUGACAAUGGUCUCCAUCCACCAGUACCUUCUAUGUGCGCAGAUCACCCUUGUGUUUAACUAAACGUUCAAGCUUCUCAUAGAUCUUUUGCAACUCUGCUUCCAUCUCUUUCAUCCUUUUAUUAGCUGGAUUAAGAAUUGGAAACAAAUUCCUUACCUGCAAUGGCGGAACAUAUCCAUGUAUAUGAGAUAGAAUUUAGGAACAUAUAAAUACUAAAAUUAUUAAACUCGUACCGAGUAAGUUAACACACAGAUGCAAUGAUGUUUUGUUUAUAAAAAAUUAAAAAAAAAUUAAAAUGAGAUUAUUUUCUUAAAAAAAUUAAGUCUAACCAAGAUUCUAAUGAGAUGAUAGGAUGGUGAAUUAACCCUCCAGGUUACUAAAAUUUGAAAGAUAAAUUCAGCAAUUAGCACAGUAAACAUAAAAAAGUGAUGCAAUGAUAUCGUUUGAAAAAACUUUUGAAAAAUAGUAUAUUUUCACCUUAUCACACCUAAGAAAAGCAAUAUUUACUAAAUUUUAUUAUUACUAAGCAUAACAAGAUAGUUGUCGUACUUUGAAUAGCAACAUUUAGUAAAUGUUGUGCUUUUAAAGAGCGACAAGGUGAAACUUCAAUCAUCUGACUCAAUUAAUUGACCUGUUCAUAAUGGUUAGUGAAAUCGAUCGACCGAUUAAAAUAUAAGAAAAAUCUCAAAAAUAUCAAAAUCAAGGGGCCUCGAUGAGAUUUUUGAUAUCUAGAGAUUUGAUAGUUUACAUAACGACAUAUUGGCUACAAUAGGGAAGAUGAUUUUUGAAAACUUCUAUAUAAGUUUGAGUGCGAUUUAACAGUCUAAUAAACAAUUAUAGCUUUUUUAGUCGUUAUUCUGGUCUGUCGGAACCAGAUCUCCUCUUGAGCCUUAAACUAUCUCCUCUUUGCACUUAAUUAAAUCCUUCAAUUUAAUCUAAAUUAAUUCUUAAACAUAAUUAAAAUUUAAUUUGGCCCAUGAUUAAAUCAAAUUGGCUCAUUAAAAAUUUAAUUACGUCAUUGGACUUAAUUUGUAUGCAAAUUCAUCCAAUAAUCAUUUAAUUUGACCUUCGAAUUUGCAUUUAAUUUGACCUUCGAUUUUUGUCUAUUUUUGCAGUCUUUUUUAUCAGCUUUUUCCAUAUUGCCAGCCUUUAUUUUAUUUAUUUUAUUUUUAUUUUUUUAAAAAAAGUGAAUUUUGAAGAAUAACCCAGAAUUGAGUUAUGACAAUCUUGAAAAAUUGCAUGAUGGAUUGAGGGUUAUGAACCGUUCAAAAACUAGACUCAAAUUCUCUGUGCAAUAUAAGAAUCUAAAGCUCGUAGAAAGAAGUAGGAAAAAAUAGCUAGAAAAGUAAGAGAAUGAAGGCAAAAAAAGUUGACAAGAUCUCUGUAAUAGCUCUGGAUCUAUUGCUUGGACCAAGGAUUAAAUAUAACAUUAUAGAUAAUCAUUGUGUCUGCUUCUACCAUUUCUUUUCACUUCUUCUUAAAGGUUAAAAGGCUAAAGGUGCAACUAGGGGUGAGCAAAGAAACCGAAAAACUGAUUAAACCGAGAAAACUGGAAAAAAUAUAACCGAAAAAACCGAAUCUAAAAAAAAAACCGAUCAAACCGAUUAGAAAAAUUAAAAAACAAGCCGGUUCGGUUCGGUUUCGGUUUUAAAAAGCUAAAACCGAAUAAACCGAACCGAACUGAACCGGUUCAAGUAAAAAAAAGUAAUAGUACUAUAAAUACCUACUUUUCAGCUUUCCCCUUCUCCUUUCUAAACCCUAGCUGCCACCCAUGUUUCAUAAUCUUCACCUCUCAACUCAGCCCCUACCCCAUCUUCACUCUCAACCUUGCCCCCACCCCCAUCUUCAUUGUCAACCUUUAUCGCCCAUGUUUCUCAAUCUUCAUCUCUCAGCCAUAGUUAUUAAACCCGGCCCGGCCCGGCGGGUCGACCCGGGACCCGGUCGACCCGGUGGCUGGACCGGUUCGGGUUUAAUAAAAGACCGGCUGUGGCAACAGCCCGGCCAAACCCGGGCGACCCGGGCAAACCCGGACGAGACCCGGGUUUUUUUUUUUUUUUUAAAUUUGGGAUAAAAAAAAUUUGGUUUAAAUAUUUCAACUUAAAAUGAUAACAUAGUAUCUUUUCAAUGUGGGGUUUGAAGCCCUUUCAUAUAUAUACUCUAUGUUCACAUGAAAAAAAUUAUAUUUUUUCAAUGUGGGAUUUAAAACCCAUUAGUAUAUAUACUCUAUGUUCCCAAGGAAAAAAUCAUGUUUUUUCAAUGUGGGAUAAAAAACCUUUUGGUUUAAAUACUUCAACUUAAAGGGAUAACAUAGUAUCUUUUCAAUGUGGGAUUUGAAGCCCUUUCAUAUAUAUACUCUAUGUUCCCAUGAAAAAAGUUAUGUUUUUUCAAUGUGGGAUUUGAAACCCAUUAGUAUAUAUACUCUAUGUUCCCAAGGAAAAAUUCAUGUUUUUCCAAUGUGGGAUAAAAAACCUUUUGGUUUAAAUACUUCAACUUAAAGGGAUAACAUAGUAUCUUUUCAAUGUGGGAUUUGAAGCCCUUUCAUAUAUAUACUCUAUGUUCCCAUGAAAAAAGUUAUGUUUUUUCAAUGUGGGAUUUGAAACCCAUUAGUAUAUAUACUCUAUGUUCCCAAGGAAAAAAUCAUGUUUUUCCAAUGUGGGAUAAAAAACCUUUUGGUUUAAAUACUUCAACUUAAAGGGAUAACAUAGUAUCUUUUCAAUGUGGGAUUUGAAGCCCUUUCAUAUAUAUACUCUAUGUUCCCAUGAAAAAAGUUAUGUUUUUUAAACCAAAAUGUUUUUUAUCCCACAUUGAAAAAACAUGAUUUUUUCUUUAGGAACAUAGAGUAUAUAUACUAAUGGGUUUCAAAUCCCACAUCGAAAAAACAUAACUUUUUUCAUGGGAACAUAGAGUAUAUAUAUGAAAGGGCUUCAAAUCCCACAUUGAAAAGAUAUUAUGUUAUCCCUUUAAGUUGAAGUAUUUAAACCAAAAGGUUUUUUUAUCCCACAUUGGAAAAACAUGAUUUUUUCCUUGGGAACAUAGAGUAUAUAUACUAAUGGGUUUCAAAUCCCACAUUGAAAAAACAUAACUUUUUUCAUGGGAACAUAGAGUAUAUAUAUGAAAGGGCUUCAAAUCCCACAUUGAAAAGAUACUAUGUUAUCCCUUUAAGUUGAAGUAUUUAAACCAAAAGGUUUUUUAUCCCACAUUGAAAAAACAUGAUUUUUUCCUUGGGAACAUAGAGUAUAUAUACUAAUGGGUUUCAAAUCCCACAUUGAAAAAAUAUAAUUCAACUUAAAAUACUUCAACUUAAAAGCUUAACAUAAUAUCUUUUUAACGUGGGAUAAAAAACUUUUUAAAAUAUUAUUUUAAACUUGAUUAUUUAUAAUAUAUAUAAUCUAUAUUUACAUGAAUUUUUUCAUAUGAAAUAUUAAUUUUUUUUUAAUUAUUACGGGUUAAUCCGGGUCAACCCGGGUUGACCCAUGAAACCCGAGACCCAGCCCCUUGGCCGGGUCAACCCCCGGGCCGGGUUUAAUAACUAUGCUCUCAGCACAGCCCCCCCUCCCAUCUUCAUCUCUCAUCCCUCAACCUUUCUCACAACCCGCCAUCACAGCCCCCCAUCUUCAUCUCUUAUCUCUCAACAUUUCUCACAAACCCCCCUCAACAUCUUCAUCUCUCAUCUCUCUCAACCUUUCUUUAAGGCUUCAAGCAUAAUUUUUUUGUCCUUUUCUUUAAGCAUAGUCGACUAAGCUCCAUGGAUUAACAACCAAAUAGCAGCUCUAGAGCCUCCCUCUCUUCAAUCUUUAUCUCUUAAUUUUUGUCCCUGUUUAUUUUUUUUUCUGAUUUCUGUAGAUCUGUUAUGUAUUCAUUUUCUAUAUUUAUUUACAAGAAUGUUGAUUUGCCAUUCAUGUUGCGAUUACUGUAAUGGAUGUUGUGAUAAAUAUUUUUUUCAAAUUUUCGUUUGAAUCUUGUUCUUUUUGGCUUCCUGAUUUAGAAAACCUGCUUGGUAUGCUUGGCCAAGAUGCAAUCAGUUUUUUCCGGUUUUUUCUUUCAAUUAACCGAACCGAACCGAAAAUGGUCGGUUUGAACCGGUUUCGAUUCGGUUUCGGUUUUCAUUUAAAAAUAAAUAAAUAAAUUGGUUUGGUUAGUUUUUUUGGUGAAAACCGGACCGAACUGGAAAUGCUCACCCCUAGGUGCAACCAUUGUUUUCUUGUUUCAAGCAGGAAAUUUUUUUUGCCUAACAAAAACAUAUGUACCUCCUUUUGUUUCCACCAAAGACAAAAAAAAUAGUUGGGAUACUGACUCGAAACAUGCAUUUAUAUGAUCAUAAAUAAUAAAUGGUAGUCCAAAUCAUUAAAUAAAUGAGUUUUAGCUUAUGUUUUAAUUUAAUUUAUUUGAACUUUUAGUUGAAAUGUAUUAAUUAGAUAUUAUUUGUUGGGUUUGAUUUAAUUAUUGUUAGGUAUUUUAUUUAGUGGACUAUACACUUAAUUGUUUGUUCUAGUUUGGGUUUCAGUAUUUGAUAAGCUUUUUCUUCUCUUUAGUUGGCUUCCCUUUCUUUUCUCUCUUCUUUAACUUUAAAUCUCUUUUGUCUUGUAUCAAAUUUGGUAUUAGAUUAUUGUUCUUGGUGGGAUUAGAGUUUUUUCUUGAUAAAUGGUAGUCAAAUUUGGUAUUAGAGCGCAAGUACAAAACUAGUUACAUGGUAUAGUCAAACCACCUCCUAUAACAAAAUUAAGGGUGUGCUUGGGAAGGCGGUACAAAUCGUGUUCCCUCAAAUUUUAAAUUUUUUUUUAUUUUUGCUUUUUUAUAGUUUUUGAUCAUUUUGAUGUGUUGAUGUCAAAAAUAAUUUUAAAAAACUAAAAAACUUUUAUUUUACUACAUUUCUAAACAAAACAUCCUUUGAAUUGUCACUGCUAACAUAAUUUCAAACACAUUCUAAGGAUGCGUUUGUUUCCUAGAAAGUGGUUUUUUAAAAAAACAAUUUUUCAAACUUUCCUGUGUUUAUUUACCAUUACGAAAGUUGGUCAAUGAAAAAUACUUUUCGGUCAACGAAAAACACUUUCAUGUCAAAGGAAAAUUUAACUUGAUUUCUAGGAAAGUAUUUUCCUUUUAUUUUGGGUGGAAAACACUUUCUAAAAGUUGUGAAAAAUAUAAAAAUAUCAUAUUAUUUGCUGAUUAUGUCAAAUUUGGUCCUCAAACUUUUGAUUGUUAUAUAUUUUGUUCGAAUUUUUUUUCUUUCAAAUUCAUCCCUUAAAAUUUGAUUUAAUUUAAUUUUUAUAUUCACUUUGAUCCUUUUUUUUUAUGAUUGUUAUUUACUUUUCUCUUAUUAUUUUUAAAAUUGAAUUUUUUUUAUCUGUCAAAUUUGAUCUUCAUUCUUUUGAUUGUUACUUAUUUUAUUUAAAAUAAUUAAUAAAAUUAUAAUAAUUAUUAUUUUAAUUUCAUCAUCUUUCAAUUUUUUUAUCUGUUAAAUUUGAUCUCUAUUAUUUUAAUUAUUAUUUAUUUUAUUUGAGAUCAUUUAUGAACUUAAUUUUUUUUUAAUUCUAUUCUCAUUCAACUUUUUAGUUUAUAAAAUUUGUUUCUUAUUAUUUUAAUAAACUUGAAAUAAAAUAAAACAUUAAAAAGCUAUUUUCCGGCUCAUUUUCUAUAAUAUAACCAAACACUGAAAAGUGUUUUCCAAUUUUCUUUGCAUGAUACUACCAAAUAUUAAAAAAUAAUUAAUUUCUUGGAAUUCAUUUCUAAAAAAACUAUAUUUAAAAAAAAAACUAUUUUUCUACCAACAAACGAAGCCUAUGUAAACUAAGUAAACGACAACGUUUGAUAUCCCUAUAUCGGAAAGGGGUCAGCCAUUCUCUUGGCACGGACUCGAGCUUAGGACAAUUCGAGAUAAUCAAUCGGCGAAGAGAGGUGAGGUGCUGCAGCCCCAUUACAGAUUUCAGAUUUAUCAGACCUGAUAUUUGAAGAGAUACAAGGGAGGAGGGCAGCUUCUCUCCUGGCAUGGACUCGAGCUUAGGAGAACUACAGAUAUGUAAUUUACGAAGAGAGGUGAGGUGCUGAAACCCCUUAUAUUCCAGAUCUUCCAAAUCCCAGAUUUCAAGGUCUUCAAGGGAGGAGGGAAGGGUGCCUUCUUGAAGGGACUCAAGCUUAAGGCUCCUCCUUAUCUUCAUUUUGCGAAGAGAGGUGAGGUGCCGAAGCUCCUUGUAGUCCCGGUCUUGCUGAUUCCAUAAUUGAAGGAUUUCAAGGGAGGAAGGCAGCCCCUGCAACGAUUCAAGUUUAGGACAAUUCCCGAUCUUCAAAUUGUGAAGAGAGGUGAGGUGCUGAAGCCCAAUGUAGUCCAGAGAUUCCAGUUUACAGAGAUAAAGGCAUUCAAGGGAGGAGGGCAGCGCCUGUUCUGGAUAUGUGCUCAAGUUUAGGGUAACUCUCAAUACUCAAAUUUCUAAGAGAGGUGAGGUGAUGAAGCCCCUGGUAUUCAAGGGAGGAGGGCAGCACCUGUUCUGAUAUGAACUCAACUUUAGGGCAACUCUUGAUCUUCAAUGUGUCAAGAGAGGUGAGGUGAUGAAGCCCCAUGUAGUCCAGAGAUUCUAGAUUUCUGAGAUAAGGUAUUCAAGGGAGGAGGGAAGCGCCUGCUCUGAUAUGGACUCAAGCUUAGGGCAACCCUCGAUACUCAAUCUCUGAAGAGAUGUGAGGUGAUGAAGCUCCUUAUAGUCCAGAGAUUUCAGGUUUUCCAGACGAUUGAUUUCAAGGGUUGUAAGAGUAGAGGGCAACGUCUCCUCGUCAAAAGACUCCACAUCGUUCCCAGUAAAUAUGAAGCAUGAAAGAGAAGGGAGUGCUUGCAAACCACAUACCUUGAGUUUGAUACAAUCCACAAUGCAAAGUGUGUUUAAUUUGGAGGGUAAACCUCCUUCAGGAAACGAAUCAACUUCUGGAAGUGAGAUCAAUUGCAAAUCUGUAGGGAAGGGAGGAGGGAAUGCAUGUUUUCCGGCAACGACUUCAAAUAUGAGCAACCCUCUAACACAAGCCUUGUCAAAUCUGGGGCAGCUAGUCCUCCUUUGGGGAAAGACACCAAAUUAGGACAGUGACUGAUUGUCAGAUGACAGAGAGCAGGGACAGGUCUCUCGCCUAUACAAAGGGAUUCCAGAUUGAGACAAUGUUCAAUGGUAAGUGUGGAUACCUGGGGUAAAAGGUCUAGCUGGCAGCACUUAAAUGAACUACAUCUCUCGAUUUUGAUAAAAGUGAAAGAAGAGGGAUCCAAACGACUCAUUUGCUCCAUUCCCUUUAGCUGGGGAUCUUGUCUAAAAUGGAGGCACGGCGUGGAUGGUUGAUCUGAUAACCCAAACUGUCCUGUUAGCCCAUUUAUACGUCUUUCAUCGCCCUCAGAUACAUUGAUUACGCCGAGCAUGGGUGCCUCUGGAAUUGAAACCACAAGCUGUGGACAUUCUUGAAUAAAAGCUUCCAUAAACAAGGAAGGUGACUAGGCAAGGCAUUUGUUAACUUGGGGCAAUGUCUUAUGCGGAGCUCUGCAAGAUGAGGGAAAGCACCAGCUACAUCUGUUUUCCAUUCCUGCCAUUUUCGCAUCCCCUCAAACUUUAAUAUUUUGAGGGAUUUAAAUGGCUUCUCCAUCGAAGGGUCACUUCCAUAGAACUCAGAACCAACUGCCACGACUUCAUCAAAUCCUUCAAUAUGGAGCUCUUCUAGAGAUGGCAGCUGCCCCAAUGGUGGUAAGAGGAUGCAGUUCUUACAUCCAUAAAGAAACAACACUACCAUAUUUGAGAAAGAAGAGUUUCCAAGCCAGCCUGGAAACGUUGUACCCCGUAACCAGUAAUGGCAAGCUGUUUCACAUUUUCAGAAGGCUCCAAUUUCUCAAGUACUUCUCUCUCGUGUGGUGUGUCAUCCGUAUUGCCAUCCCACGUCAACCCCAACUCCUCAAUCUUCUUCUUACCCUUCAAAUCGGCAUCCAAAGCAUCUUGAGCAUUUGCAACAUCUCUGAGAUUCCGAAUAGAAAGUUUUUUCCUUAUAUGUGAGAGCUUCCCCAACUCUUUCAUGCUAGACCCGCUAUCUUUUCCCACGAUGUAAGAUUCCAAAAUUCGAAGCUUCGUGAGUUUCCCCAUUUUUGGUGGCAUCUCUUUCAAAUUUGUCCCUUCAAUAUCAAGAUGUUGUAAGUCGACCAAGUUGGAAAGGUUGGAUGGCAACUCCAUGAGAUGUCGGCACUCUUUAACAAUAAGCUUUGCAAAUAGUACAAGGUGCACACACUUUCAGGUAACCUUUCAAUGGCGGUGCAAGAAAGGUCCAAGUGCCGCAAAUGUUUUCAAGUUGCCAAUGGAAUUGAGCAACUGAGAAGAAAUAUCUUUUAGAUGAAUAAAGAUAGCAUUCGCAAGCGCUUAAGAUUUGGCAAGAUGUCAUUCAGUGCCUCAUAUCACUUCCCUUAAAAACAUAGUGGAAACAAGGCGCGCAAAUGUUGGACUCCAUGAAUGCUACGAAAUAUCCGAAGUCCUCGUCAUAUGCUCCUGAAGUGAUUGAUAAAUAACGAGUCCUUUCUGGAAGCGAGCAUGAAUGUUCACCCUCCAACCCAGAGCCCGAUUCAUUAAUACCAAGCUUAAAGCAAAAUUCUCCUGACACGUAUUCAGCUAAAUCACUUAUGAUGUCAUGCAUGCUGAAAUCUGAUUGAACAUGAAGUGAUUGCUGGAAAAGUGACCUGGAGACAAGAUCAUCAAAGUAUUUUUCACCUAUAUCUUCCAUCUCCUCAACUCCUCUGGACUGGCCUAAAAAACCAUGUGCCAUCCAUUCAGUGAUUAAUCCAUUUUUCUUGAAUACAUAACUCUUGGGAAAUAUUGCACAAUAAACAAAACAACGUUUCAGGUGUGAAGGGAGAUAAUAAUAGCUCAAUGUUAGAGCUGGAGGGAUGUUUUCAUUCGACAAUCCCCACAAACUGCUAUUGGAUAUCUUCUCCCAUUGCCUGACAUCUCCUACGGAGUGCAAAAGACCCCCAAGAGUUUUCGCUGCCAGCGGUAAACCUUUGCACUUUCUCGCUAUUUCUCUGCCAAAUGCUUCCAAGUGUGAGACUGCUCCAGAAUUUACACCACUAAAUGCAUCCCUUGCAAACAAUUUCCAGCAAUCUUCAUCGCUUAUUACAUCCAAGCGGUGAGAGGGGAUGACUGUUUGCGUGACUUUUGCUACAUCUUCAUUCCGUGUUGUCACGACAAUCUUACUUCCGUGCUCCACAUACAGCAAAGGUAGCAGUAGUUUAUCCCAUUCAUUGUACUUAAUGUUCCACGCGUCAUCUAGAACAAGUAGAAGUUUCUUCCCUUUCACUGCCUCCAUUAGAGAUUCAUCUGGUUCUUUGGUGCGGCAAGUACUUGCGUUGAUCUUAUCAAGAAUAUCCUUAAUAAUCCUGGCAACAUCAAAUUGUUGGAAGCCCAGACCCAGGCUUUGAGCUCGAAGCACUCAUCUAUCGUUGUAGAUAAGCUGAGCAAGAGUGGUUUUACCAAUCCCGCCCAUGCCCACAAUGGAACGCACAACUAAAUUUGAGCCAUCUGUGUUGUGUUGUGUCAACAAGUGCUCCAUUAUGGCUUCCUUAUCAGCGUCCCUUCCAUAUACAUAGAGAUUCAUUAACCAGUGGAGUUGUUUUCUCUGACAAUGGUCUCCAUCCACCAGUACCUUCUAUGUGGCGCAGAUCACCCUUGUGUUUAAGUAAACGUUCAAGCUUCUCAAGGAUCUUUUGUAACUCUGCUUCCAUCUCUUUCAUCCUUCUAUUAGCUGGAUUUAGAAAUGGAAACCGAUCCUUACCUGCAAUGGUGGACUAAAUAUGUGAGAUAGAAUUCAGGAAAACAUUAUAAUUUAUAAUAUCAAAACAUAAACAUUAAGAUUUUUACAUCUAGUGAAUUAAUAAGUUAAUACCAUUAAAUUGUUGAUGCUAUAAACAUUAAGAUUUUUACAUCUAGUGAAUUAAUAAGUUAAUGCCAUUAAAUUGUUGAUGCUAGCUUAACGUAAUUAAGCAGUGAAAGUCAAGUUUUAAAAAGAUAUUGAUUCAAUGCCAUAAGUGAUUUUCAUAGCCCUUACUAUAUAAUAUUAUUUAUAUAUAUAUAAUGAAAUUAAUUUUUUUUCUAAAAUAAAAAUGGAAAAAUAAUUGUUUAGCAAUUAAAAAGUAAAGUAUUUAUUUUUCAUAUUUAAAAUAAAGAUAUGAGCCUUUCAUGUAUAAAACAUCAUUCCAAUUUCUAAUUGUGCUAACAAAAAAUCAAUGCAUAAUUCUUGGUGAUUAUUAUAUAUAAUUACUAAGAAAUUUAAUAUUUAUAAUAAUGGGUUUUGAAUCUCGUAAGUCCUAACUAUUCAUCACUAAAAAUAUUGAAAGACAAUUCAAUUUUAUAUCCCUUAUAUUUUCAUAAAAAAGUAAGAGUCAUUCAUGUUCUCAUAAAAAUAUAUAUAAUUUAAUUGACAAAAUUUAUAUAAAUAAUUCAGAUUUUAAAAAUAUAGCAUUUUGGAUUUUAAAAAAAACAAACAAACAAAUAGAGGGAUCAAUACAAACAUUUUAUGAGGAAGCAAGGUCUCUAGGUGCAAGAACUUAUGCUUACCCAAUUGCUGUCAGGUCGAGGGGCAUCAAUGUCCUUGGAUCGUAGAUAUUCAUAAUCAAUCUCCUCCGAUAUGUCCUCAGCUUCAUAGACAGCGUGUUUAACAUCAUUAAGCCACUUCUUCACAGCACGAUUUGUAAUCUGCUUCUCCUCCGCAUCGUCGAGUAGUCCGUUGACAGUAUUCAGUGUUUCAUUCAGCUUUUCCAGAAGACCAUCAUCGAGUUUGUGGCUUUGGAAGAAGCCCAGAACCUCACGAGAGGCCAACCUGUCGACCAGAACCUCAAUGAGAGCAGAGAGAAUUGAUCCUCCGAUCAACUCCAGAGACAUGGUGGAUUUUUGCAGAAGGGUGAGGGUGGGAAUAUGUGAGAGAAAAGGAGUUGUGGAAAGCAGGAGCCUUGGUGGAUUUUUGCUAAAGGGUGAGAGAGUGAUUAUGUGAGAGAGAAUGAUAAGCCAAAUAGAAAACCCGAGGAAGCCGGCUUCGAGUGUGUUUGUCCUUGACGCAGUGUAUGCGUUUUCUCUCAAUGUAUAGAAAUGAUGGGCCCACUGCCCAAGGUUGGAACUUGGAUAUGAAAAAGAUUUUUUUUUUUCUGCUUUUUACAUGCUGGAUCACAGGUUAAACCUUCUUGAUCUGCUAAAAAAAACAUUCAAAAAUUAUCUUUGCAUCCUUUUUCUUUCUCCUAUCAUUCAUUACAAUUGCUUGUCUUUCUUUGAACAAUACAAUUGCCCAGAAAAUUCUGGUUUUGCUAUCAACAUGAUACAAUAGCAAUGAACAAGUCUAUUUCAUUAAAAAUUCAGAUUUGUAAUUUACUCGUAAACUAGUCGACUUAUCAGGUCAACCUGAAACUUGAAUGACUCGGUAAAAUACUAGUAAAGACCAUUUUCUUCAAAUGUAUUUUUUUCUCCUAUCUAGGAACCUUUUAUAUAUUUUAUUUUUUUUAUUUAGUUACUCAUUUCAAAAUUCACUAUAUAAAUAUUAGAAGAAUAUUUUAUUUUUUUAAUGUGAUAUUUUGAAGCCCUUUAAUAUAUAUACUUUAUGUUCUUCAAAAAAAAAUUAUGUUUUUUCAAAUGUAGAAUAAAAAACCUUUUUUGUUUAAAUACUUCAACUUAAAAAAAUAAGAUAGUAUAUUUUCAAAGUAGAAUAAAAAAUCUUUUGAAAUAAUCUUUUAAACUUAAUUGCUUACAACAUGUAUAGCCUAUAUCCAUAUAGAUUAUUUUUUAUUUUUUUAUAUAAAAUAUUAAAACCUCAUAUUUUUUUAAUUUUUCCUGAUUGACCCGAGUCAACCCAUGUAAACUAGGACCUAGCCCCUUAGUCGGGUUAAUCCUUAGGCUGAGUUUGAUAACCAUGAUUGUCAUGAGAAUACAACUUUAAAAAUGCAAUUAAAAAGAAAUAAAGUGAUGUGAACAGUUAAAAAAUCAAAUAAAUAGAUAAAACCUUUUCUUUUUUAUUUUAUUAAGGGCCUCUUUUAAUUAUUUUUUUUAUUAUGUGUUUAGAGAUAAAUUUAUGGACACUAAAAUCAACAUUUUUUAUUCUUGAAAUACAACUCACCAAAAUACCUUUUUAUAUAUAUCUAACGACUUUCUAUUUAUACUCAUGACAUCAAAAAAUUGAAAUACGAGGAGAAUGAAGUUUUAGAAUUAAAUAUAAAUAGCUAAAACUACAAGAAUAAAAGAAAAAACUUUAGGAACCCAAAUGAACUUUUAUGAGAAUUUCAAGGAUCAAAACUCAAUAUUCAGAUAGUAAAACGAGUGGGAAAUGAAGUUUAAAACUAAAAUGUAAACACAUAAAACUACUAGGAUUAAAAAUAUUUUUUUAAAAAACUUCAUUUGGUAUUACUCUUAGAACGUAAUUGGUACAAGGCUUAAAAAUAUGGGUGAAAUUAUCACAUAAAUAAUAAUUAUUAUUAUAAGAGCAAAUUUAAAAAGUGUAAAUGUUGGUUUUUAAAAAUGACUGAUGUAUUUGAACAGUUAAAUACUUGUGAAAAAAAGAGAGAAUAAUUUAAUAAUUAACUUCAACUUUUCCAUUAAUUAAUUAAGAUCUAAAAAAUCCAAAAAUUAUAAGUUUCUAAUAUAAAGUUAAAAAAUUUACAUAUAUAUAAAAAAGAUAUUUCAUAAAAUUCUAUUUUUUUUUAAUAAUUCACAGAAACUCAAUGCAAGACUUCAUAUGUUGAAUCUUCUCAUUAUCAACACUUUCAAAUAUAUCUUUUUUGAUAUAAGUAACCAAACAAUCAUUAAAUAAAUUAUCCCCAACUCGAUUGUGUAAUCGACUUUUGACUAAUUUCAACGUUGAAAAUAUUCUCUUUACUGAUGCAAUAACCACGCGUAAAAUUAAUGCUAAAUUUAUCACGUAAUAUAUGUUAUUUAUUAAAUUUAUUACUUAUAUAUUAAAAUGUAUGGGAUUUUCACCGUGUAUUUGUUAUUAUACAAUUUUUUUUUUCAGUUUAUCCAUGACAACUAGAGUGCCGAGCUCAAAAUGCUAGGGUCUGACAUAGUACCCGACCUAAUUACCAAACCCUAGAUUUGGUAACUAUGCAAGACCCAAGCAUCCCUUGCAAACAACUCCCAGCAAUAUUCAUAGCUUAUUGCAUUCAAGCGGUGAAAGGGGAUGACAGUUUGCGUGACUUUUGCUACAUCUUCUUCCCGUGUUGUCACGACAAUCUUACUUCCGUGCUCCACAUACCGCAAAGGUAGCAGUAGUUUAUCCCAUUCAUUGUACUUGAUGUUCCACGCGUCAUCUAGAACAGGUAGAAGUUUUUUCCCUUUCACUGCCUCCAUUAGAGAUUCAUCUGGUUCUUUGGUGCGGCAUGUACUUGCG
Molecule: long non-coding RNA, 13887 nt
Filed under: Populus tremula
Lineage: Eukaryota; Viridiplantae; Streptophyta; Magnoliopsida; Malpighiales; Salicaceae
Description: long non-coding RNA (PTRE_LNC001439)
Source: RNAcentral